This 641-nucleotide ribosomal RNA is filed under the name Eurytemora affinis. RNAcentral's name for it is "SSU rRNA". It matches the Rfam family "Eukaryotic small subunit ribosomal RNA", at positions 568 to 1209 of the family's 1831-position model. The record is from RNAcentral. Lineage: Eukaryota; Metazoa; Arthropoda; Copepoda; Calanoida; Temoridae.
CAGCAGCCGCGGUAAUUCCAGCUCCAAUAGCGUAUAUUAAAGUUGUUGCGGUUAAAAAGCUCGUAGUUGGAUUUCAGCGGGUAGUGGUUGGUUUGAAUUGCUUCAACACUGACUUUUUUACCCGUGUGUUGGGUCAGAUUCAGGCGGGUGAUCUUAAACGGUUGUCCGUCCGAGCUGGCUAUUUUACUUUGAAAAAAUUAGAGUGCUCAAAGCAAGCUAGAUGGCUUGAAUAUUCGUGCAUGGAAUAAUAGAAUAGGAGGUCGCUUCUAUUUUGUUGGUUUUCGGAAGUCGACUUAAUGAUUAAUAGGGAUAGUCGGGGGCAUUUGUAUUUAAGUGACAGAGGUGAAAUUCUUGGACCACUUAAAGACAAACUACUGCGAAAGCAUUUGCCAAGAAUGUUUUCAUUAAUCAAGAACGAAAGUUAGAGGUUCGAAGGCGAUUAGAUACCGCCCUAGUUCUAACCAUAAACGAUGCCAGCUAGCGAUCUGUUGGAGUUUCUUUUAUGACCUGACAGGGAGCUUCCGGGAAACCAAAGCUUGUGGGUUCCGGGGGAAGUAUGAUUGCAAAGUUGAAACUUAAAAGAAUUGACGGAAAGGCACCACCAGGAGUGGAGGCUGUGGCUUAAUUUGACUCAACACGGG